Molecule: ribosomal RNA, 253 nt
Filed under: uncultured bacterium
Lineage: Bacteria
Description: partial 16S ribosomal RNA
Rfam family: Bacterial small subunit ribosomal RNA
Source: RNAcentral
UACGGAGGGUGCGAGCGUUGUCCGGAAUCACUGGGCGUAAAGGGCGCGUAGGCGGCCUGAUAAGUCGGGGGUGAAAUCCUGCGGCUUAACCGCAGGGCUGCCUUCUAAACUGUCGGGCUUGAGCACAGUAGAGGCAGGUGGAAUUCCCGGUGUAGCGGUGGAAUGCGUAGAGAUCGGGAAGAACAUCAGUGGCGAAGGCGGCCUGCUGGGCUGUUGCUGACGCUGAGGCGCGACAGCGUGGGGAGCAAACAGG